This 79-nucleotide non-coding RNA is filed under the name Burkholderiales bacterium. RNAcentral describes it as "SAH sequence". It matches the Rfam family "SAH (S-adenosyl-L-homocysteine) riboswitch aptamer". The record is from RNAcentral. Lineage: Bacteria; Pseudomonadati; Pseudomonadota; Betaproteobacteria; Burkholderiales.
AUUUCCGAGGAGCGUUGCAGCACCCCAAGCCGGGUGCGAGGCUCGGAAAUCCUUUCCUCUGCAACGACGCUCACCCACG